RNAcentral lists this ribosomal RNA (117 nucleotides) under Candidatus Omnitrophica bacterium CG11_big_fil_rev_8_21_14_0_20_64_10. Lineage: Bacteria; Pseudomonadati; Candidatus Omnitrophota. The record is from RNAcentral.
CCGGGCGCUCAUACCGCGGGGGCCACACCCGUUCCCAUCCCGAAUACGGUCGUUAAGCCCCGCAGGGCCGAUGGUACUUGGCUGGCAACGGCCUGGGAGAGUAGGUCGGCGCCCGGU